CGUGUAGGCGGCCGAUUAAGUCCGGAGUGAAAGUCCUGCUUUCAAGGUGGGAAUUGCUUUGGAAACUGGUUGGCUUGAGUGCGGAAGAGGUAAGUGGAAUUCCCAGUGUAGCGGUGAAAUGCGUAGAGAUUGGGAGGAACACCAGUGGCGAAGGCGACUUACUGGGCCGUAACUGACGCUGAGGCGCGAAAGCGCGGGGAGCGAACA
This 207-nucleotide ribosomal RNA is filed under the name uncultured bacterium. RNAcentral's name for it is "partial 16S ribosomal RNA". It matches the Rfam family "Bacterial small subunit ribosomal RNA", at positions 568 to 774 of the family's 1533-position model. The record is from RNAcentral.